GAUGAAGAACGCAGUGAAAUGCGAUAAGUAAUGCGAAUUGCAGAAUCCGUGAGUCAUCGAAUCUUUGAACGCACAAUGCGCCCUUUGGUAUUCCGAAGGGCAUGCCUGUUCGAGCGUCAUUAUCACCCCUCAAGCCCCGGCUUGGUGUUGGGCUCUCGGUGGUCGUCUCCGACCACCCGUCUCAAAGAUAGUGACGGCGUCCCAGAGGGAACCGAUACGAGGAGCUUUCACGAGCAUGUACGCGGGACGACUCUGCGGGCGACGGUCUUAUUUACUUUAUAUACAAGUGUUGACCUCGGAUCAGGUAGGAAUACCCGCUGAACUUAAGCAUAUCAAUAAGCGGAGGA
Molecule: unclassified non-coding RNA, 347 nt
Filed under: soil metagenome
Description: partial contains 5.8S ribosomal RNA, internal transcribed spacer 2, and large subunit ribosomal RNA
Rfam family: 5.8S ribosomal RNA (bases 1-119)
Source: RNAcentral